UAGGAAGGCAGCAGUGGGGAAUAUUGCACAAUGGGCGCAAGCCUGAUGCAGCCAUGCCGCGUGUAUGAAGAAGGCCUUCGGGUUGUAAAGUACUUUCAGUCGUGAGGAAGGUGUUAAGGUUAAUAACCUUAGCAAUUGACGUUAGCGACAGAAGAAGCACCGGCUAACUCCGUGCCAGCAGCCGCGGUAAUACGGAGGGUGCGAGCGUUAAUCGGAAUUACUGGGCGUAAAGGGCACGCAGGCGGUUAAUUAAGUUGGAUGUGAAAUCCCCGGGCUUAACCUGGGAAUGGCAUUCAAGACUGGUUAGCUAGAGUCUUGUAGAGGGGGUAGAAUUCCAUGUGUAGCGGUGAAAUGCGUAGAGAUGUGGAGGAAUACCGGUGGCGAAGGCGGCCCCUGGACAAAGACUGACGCUCAUGUGCGAAAGCGUGGGGAGCAAAC
Molecule: ribosomal RNA, 438 nt
Filed under: uncultured bacterium
Lineage: Bacteria
Description: bacterial SSU rRNA
Rfam family: Bacterial small subunit ribosomal RNA
Source: RNAcentral